RNAcentral lists this ribosomal RNA (490 nucleotides) under uncultured bacterium. RNAcentral describes it as "bacterial SSU rRNA". It matches the Rfam family "Bacterial small subunit ribosomal RNA", at positions 20 to 507 of the family's 1533-position model. The record is from RNAcentral.
UGGCUCAGGAUGAACGCUAGCGGCAGGCCUAAUACAUGCAAGUCGAACGGAUAUAUGUUUUUCGGAAUAUAUAUUAGUGGCGCACGGGUGAGUAACACGUACAUAACUUGCCCUCAAGCGGGGGAUAGCCUUGGGAAACUGAGAGUAAUACCCCAUAGAAUUAUUGGACGGCAUCGUUUGAUAAUUAAAACUACGGUGCUUGGGGAUAGAUGUGCGUCUGAUUAGCUAGUUGGUGAGGUAACUGCUCACCAAGGCGACGAUCAGUAGGGGGCGUGAGAGCGUGGCCCCCCACACGGGUACUGAGACACGGACCCGACUCCUACGGGAGGCAGCAGUAAGGAAUAUUGGUCAAUGGAGGGAACUCUGAACCAGCCAUGCCGUGUGAAGGAUGACGGCCCUCUGGGUUGUAAACUUCUUUUGGAUGGGGCGAAAAAACGGGAUUUAUCCUGGACUGACGGUACCAUCAGAAUAAGCACCGGCUAACUCCGUG